GCCGGUGUUGGGCAACGGUAGCCCGCUGGUCUUGAAAACCAGUUUCGCAAGAUAUCCAGGUUCGAUUCCUGGCACCGGCG
RNAcentral lists this transfer RNA (80 nucleotides) under Candidatus Pacearchaeota archaeon. RNAcentral's name for it is "tRNA-Ser". It matches the Rfam family "tRNA". Rfam says of the family: Transfer RNA (tRNA) molecules are approximately 80 nucleotides in length. The record is from RNAcentral. Lineage: Archaea; Nanobdellati.